UCCUUGAUGGCUUAGAAGUUAAGGGCUUGGCUUUGUCACUGCUGUGACUCGGGUUCAAUUCCUGACCUGGGAA
Molecule: transfer RNA, 73 nt
Filed under: Sus scrofa (pig)
Lineage: Eukaryota; Metazoa; Chordata; Mammalia; Artiodactyla; Suidae
Rfam family: tRNA
About the family: Transfer RNA (tRNA) molecules are approximately 80 nucleotides in length.
Source: Rfam by way of RNAcentral